CUUGAGCCGGGGACAGGGGCGGAUGAACCGAGCCCAUGGAGCAGCCCAUAAUAUCUCCGGGAAGCCAGACAGCAAGGGUUGCAUAUUAGAACUCCUCCUGUGGGCUGCGGGAACCAAUGAGAGAUGGAGCAGCAGUUUCCCCGUAGGCGUGCAGAAGGGCGUGUUGUCUCUACUUAAACUGUUGGUUUUGCAGGGAUUACACAGACGCAUCUAACCUGUAGAGGACAUUGUCACUGCGCAGCCUUCACCAGAACUCUUCCAACAUGAGCGACAAAAAACCUGAUGUCAAUAAGGACAUCAAGGACUAUGACGUCUCUAAACUAAAGAAGACUACUACAGCAGAAAAGGUGUAUAAACCAACUUCUAAAGACAUCGAAGAUGAGAAGAAAGAACAAAAUGUGAAGAAGUAACCAAAACACGCCUGCCAUGACUUCUCUUCUCGUCCGCCCUUUUACCUGUCUGUACUUGAGUCAGGACUCUGCCCAUCUGCCUCUGUUUUCCACUGCCAUGUCUGAUUACAAAUGGUGUUUGGGUUAGGGAAAAGAUCUGUCCCAAAGUAAAUUCAAUGGAUGUAUCUUUACUGUUUUUUUCCCAUUCAAUGACUAAAAAGAGGGUGAUAAAGAUAUGACAGGGCAUAGUUAAAAAACAAACAAACAUGAACAACUGUAUCAACGGAAAUCAAUCAAAGAUCCUGCUUUUUAACAAUUCCACAUUUAUACUGCUAAAUCGUGCCAUUAAAACAAAAGGUUGAUAUUUUUGUUUCAAUAAAAACAUCAAUGUUAAAA
Non-coding RNA from Paralichthys olivaceus (Japanese flounder), 785 nucleotides. The record is from RefSeq and is a predicted model, not a curated record. NCBI's taxonomy places the organism in Eukaryota, Metazoa, Chordata, Actinopteri, Pleuronectiformes, Paralichthyidae.